CCUACGGGUGGCAGCAGUGAGGAAUAUUGGUCAAUGGGCGCAAGCCUGAACCAGCCAAGUCGCGUGAAGGAUGACUGCCCUAUGGGUUGUAACCUUCUUUUAUAUGGGAAUAAAAUGUUCCACGUGUGGGAUUUUGUAUGUACCAUAUGAAUAAGGAUCGGCUAACUCCGUGCCAGCAGCCGCGGUAAUACGGAGGAUCCGAGCGUUAUCCGGAUUUUUUGGGUUUAACGGGAGCGUAGGUGGAUUGUUAAGUCAGUUGUGAAAGUUUGCGGCUAAACCGUAAAAUUGCAGUUGAAACUGGCAGUCGUGAGUACAGUAGAGGUGGGCGGAAUUCGUGGUGUAGCGGUGAAAUGCGUAGAUAUCACGAAGAACUCCGAUUGCGAAGGCAGUUCACUGGACUGCAACUGACACUGAGGCGCGAAAGUGUGGGUAUCAAACAGGAUUAGAUACCCUUGUAGUC
This 460-nucleotide ribosomal RNA is filed under the name uncultured bacterium. RNAcentral describes it as "partial 16S ribosomal RNA". It matches the Rfam family "Bacterial small subunit ribosomal RNA", at positions 338 to 795 of the family's 1533-position model. The record is from RNAcentral.